RNAcentral lists this ribosomal RNA (363 nucleotides) under uncultured bacterium. RNAcentral's name for it is "bacterial SSU rRNA". It matches the Rfam family "Bacterial small subunit ribosomal RNA", at positions 29 to 417 of the family's 1533-position model. The record is from RNAcentral.
AACGAACGCUGGCGGCAGGCUUAACACAUGCAAGUCGAACGGGUGUCGCAAGACAUCAGUGGCAGACGGGUGAGUAACACGUGGGAACCUUCCUAGGGGUACGGAACAACUCAGGGAAACUUGAGCUAAUACCGUAUACGUCCGUAAGGAGAAAGAUUCAUCGCCCCUAGACGGGCCCGCGUCGGAUUAGCUAGUUGGUGGGGUAACGGCCUACCAAGGCGACGAUCCGUAGCUGAUCUGAGAGGAUGAUCAGCCACACUGGGACUGAGACACGGCCCAGACUCCUACGGGAGGCAGCAGUGGGGAAUCUUGCGCAAUGGGCGAAAGCCUGACGCAGCGACGCCGCGUGAGGGAUGACGGCCU